CAUAGGUUAAUGAGGCGAACCGGGGGAACUGAAACAUCUAAGUACCCCGAGGAAAAGAAAUCAACCGAGAUUCCCCCAGUAGCGGCGAGCGAACGGGGAGCAGCCCAGAGCCUGAAUCAGUGUGUGUGUUAGUGGAAGCGUCUGGAAAGGCGCGCGAUACAGGGUGACAGCCCCGUACACAAAAAUGCACAUACUGUGAGCUCGAUGAGUAGGGCGGGACACGUGGUAUCCUGUCUGAAUAUGGGGGGACCAUCCUCCAAGGCUAAAUACUCCUGACUGACCGAUAGUGAACCAGUACCGUGAGGGAAAGGCGAAAAGAACCCCGGCGAGGGGAGUGAAAAAGAACCUGAAACCGUGUACGUACAAGCAGUGGGAGCACGCUUAGGCGUGUGACUGCGUACCUUUUGUAUAAUGGGUCAGCGACUUAUAUUCUGUAGCAAGGUUAACCGAAUAGGGGAGCCGAAGGGAAACCGAGUCUUAACUGGGCGUUAAGUUGCAGGGUAUAGACCCGAAACCCGGUGAUCUAGCCAUGGGCAGGUUGAAGGUUGGGUAACACUAACUGGAGGACCGAACCGACUAAUGUUGAAAAAUUAGCGGAUGACUUGUGGCUGGGGGUGAAAGGCCAAUCAAACCGGGAGAUAGCUGGUUCUCCCCGAAAGCUAUUUAGGUAGCGCCUCGUGAAUUCAUCUCCGGGGGUAGAGCACUGUUUCGGCAAGGGGGUCAUCCCGACUUACCAACCCGAUGCAAACUGCGAAUACCGGAGAAUGUUAUCACGGGAGACACACGGCGGGUGCUAACGUCCGUCGUGAAGAGGGAAACAACCCAGACCGCCAGCUAAGGUCCCAAAGUCAUGGUUAAGUGGGAAACGAUGUGGGAAGGCCCAGACAGCCAGGAUGUUGGCUUAGAAGCAGCCAUCAUUUAAAGAAAGCGUAAUAGCUCACUGGUCGAGUCGGCCUGCGCGGAAGAUGUAACGGGGCUAAACCAUGCACCGAAGCUGCGGCAGCGACGCUGAUGCGUUGUUGGGUAGGGGAGCGUUCUGUAAGCCUGUGAAGGUGUGCUGUGAGGCAUGCUGGAGGUAUCAGAAGUGCGAAUGCUGACAUAAGUAACGAUAAAGCGGGUGAAAAGCCCGCUCGCCGGAAGACCAAGGGUUCCUGUCCAACGUUAAUCGGGGCAGGGUGAGUCGACCCCUAAGGCGAGGCCGAAAGGCGUAGUCGAUGGGAAACAGGUUAAUAUUCCUGUACUUGGUGUUACUGCGAAGGGGGGACGGAGAAGGCUAUG
Molecule: ribosomal RNA, 1278 nt
Filed under: Escherichia coli
Lineage: Bacteria; Pseudomonadati; Pseudomonadota; Gammaproteobacteria; Enterobacterales; Enterobacteriaceae
Description: partial 23S ribosomal RNA
Rfam family: Bacterial large subunit ribosomal RNA
Source: RNAcentral